AGUGAACGCUGGCGGUAGGCCUAACACAUGCAAGUCGAACGGCAGCACAGUAAGAGCUUGCUCUUACGGGUGGCGAGUGGCGGACGGGUGAGGAAUACAUCGGAAUCUACUUUUUCGUGGGGGAUAACGUAGGGAAACUUACGCUAAUACCGCAUACGACUUAUGGGUGAAAGCAGGGGAUUUUCGGACCUUGCGCGAUUGAAUGAGCCGAUGUCGGAUUAGCUAGUUGGCGGGGUAAAGGCCCACCAAGGCGAGGAUCCGUAGCUGGUCUGAGAGGAUGAUCAGCCACACUGGAACUGAGACACGGUCCAGACUCCUACGGGAGGCAGCAGUGGGGAAUAUUGGACAAAGGGCGCAAGCCUGAUCCAGCCAUACCGCGUGGGUGAAGAAGGCCUUCGGGUUGUAAAGCCCUUUUGUUGGGAAAGAAAAGCAGCAGGUUAAUACCCCGCUGUUCUGACGGUACCCAAAGAAUAAGCACCGGCUAACUUCGUG
RNAcentral lists this ribosomal RNA (492 nucleotides) under uncultured bacterium. Its description in RNAcentral is "partial 16S ribosomal RNA". It matches the Rfam family "Bacterial small subunit ribosomal RNA", at positions 29 to 507 of the family's 1533-position model. The record is from RNAcentral.